Molecule: ribosomal RNA, 220 nt
Filed under: uncultured Glomus
Lineage: Eukaryota; Fungi; Glomeromycota; Glomeromycetes; Glomerales; Glomeraceae
Description: partial small subunit ribosomal RNA
Rfam family: Eukaryotic small subunit ribosomal RNA
Source: RNAcentral
CCAAUAGCGUAUAUUAAAGUUGUUGCAGUUAAAAAGCUCGUAGUUGAAUUUCGGGAUCAAUAUAUCGGUCGUGCCAUCGGUACGUACUGGUAUGAUUGGUUUCUCCUUUCUGACGAACCAUGAUGUCAUUAAUUUGGUGUUAUGGGAAGUUAGGACUGUUACUUUGAAAAAAUUAGAGUGUUUAAAGCAGGCUUUAGCUUGAAUACAUUAGCAUGGAAUA